Molecule: long non-coding RNA, 1014 nt
Organism: Ruditapes philippinarum (Manila clam)
Lineage: Eukaryota; Metazoa; Mollusca; Bivalvia; Venerida; Veneridae
Exons: 3
Source: RefSeq, a predicted model, not a curated record
UUACUUUCACUUUCGAUUUACCACUUCCGGGUACAUCGGCAGACUUAUUUACCGUUACGCAUAUAGUUUACCCGAAGAACUCGAGGGAUAUAGAAGUUAAAUUUGUUUCGGUCCUCUUCAGAUUUGAAGGAAUGGAUAGCACGGGUCAAAAAAAUGCAGAUGUAUAGACAAGGAGGUAUAUGACAAGUAUAGAAUAUAAAGUUGUUCAAUAUGGACCAUUAAUCAACUGUUUGCACUGCCUAUGAUCCUGAAAUAUCUAUACAUCAAAGAUAAAAAGGGAAAAGAUGAAGGAGGAUUUGUCCAUGAAGACCUUUAUUGCAACUACCAUCUUCCAGUUCCUUAAUUUGAGAAUGAUAUCAGAGAACACAUAGUUACAGUGAAAUAUUAGUUUAAUAUAAGCCACUGAGAAUAGUCAAAAUGUACUUUCCUGAAGAAAAUGAAUGACAUAAAUGUAUAAAGAGUAUGAUUUUAUGGUGUUUGACUCUAUGAUCUUGUUAACAUGUUAAUGUCACAAUGAUAGAAACAGAGUAAAAUAUCCACAUUUCAUUGCAGUUUUAAGUAUUAAAACUAGAUACUCUAUAUGUACCAAAGCUGAUUACACACCAGAGAUAAGGUUUUUUCAUGGAAUCACAGUAUAGUCAUAUGACAUUAUGGACAUUAAAUGACUAUGAAGUAAAGAUUAGCAAAAAUAUUAUAUAUCAUCUACUACUAAUAUUGUGAGGUAAUCAUUGAUAAGCUCACAAAUUUGCAAUCAAAGCUUUGAUAUCAAGCUGAACAUUUUUCAAUUAGAAUAUGAUUUAGAACUCUAUGAUAAUUUGUUCAUGUUAAUUUUCAAAGUCUUUACAUUUGUAAAAGGAAAUAUUCUUAUUCUUGUAUCAGUAGACAUUCACAGUGUAAAGUUACAUCGUCCAAAUAACUUAAAUAAUUCCAAGUGCUUUCCUGAAGUUUUUCUUCCACUGGAAAAUCAGUGUGAUAUAUAUGCUAAGCAGUGCACUAUAAAUUGUGUAAAAAUAA